RNAcentral lists this long non-coding RNA (1099 nucleotides) under Piliocolobus tephrosceles (Ugandan red Colobus). RNAcentral's name for it is "lncRNA (ENSPTEG00000002300.1)". Lineage: Eukaryota; Metazoa; Chordata; Mammalia; Primates; Cercopithecidae. The record is from RNAcentral.
ACCAUAUGUUCUCCAACAGUCAUAAAAUCAUUGAACCCAUUUCCAUCUGAAUAUAUAUCAGAAAUAUAAUAACCAGAUGAAGUGUUGUCCAAAUGGUUUUCUGAUUGAUGUUGAUAAAUUUUAGAAAAUUUUUUUUUUUUGUUUUGUUUAUUUGUUAUAAUAUAAUCUUGUUCUAUAUCACGUAGGUUAUCCAUUUUUUUUUUUACACCAUUAGCAUAGUAGUUAGCAUGACUAUUGGCAUGGUGGUUACCACCAUGAUCAGUGUCAGUACUAUCAUUAAAAUUUUUUUUUUUUUUUUUUUCUUUUUUUUUUUUUUUUUUUUUUUUUUUUUUUUUUUUUUUUUACCUGUAGCGUCUACACUGUCUUUAUUAAUAUCGGUCAUAACUGCUUUGUCUGCAUCACUUAUUGUUUCAGUUACUUCCCCUUUUUUUUUCAGUUGAAUCCUGUCGCUAGUAUUACUGUACUGACUACUACUUAUGCCACUACUACCACCACUUAUUCCACUACUACCACCACUUAUUCCACUACUACUACUACUUAUGCCAUUACUACUACUACUACUACUACUUAUGCCAUUACUACCACUACUAUCAUUACUUAUGCCAAUAUUACCACUACAAGAAAGAUUCUCAUAUUGAACGCUUCCACUCAUAGGCUUAUCCUGCUUCAUAGUAUCCCCCCCCUGAAUCAAACUGAACGAAUCAGAUACUUUUUUUUUUUUUUUUUUUUUUUUAGUGUUUUCGAGAAUAUCAACUAAUAAAUAUGUUUUCAUUUCUCCUUUACCUUUUACAAAAACACUUCUUUCUUUCCAUACUAAUGCAUCAUCAUCUUUUAGGUACAUAUAUGUGUCACCUGAUACUUGUAUAUGGUCUGUUAACGAUGUAGAUUUCAUUCUAGAUGCAGUGUUAAUGGUAUCACCAAACAAAGAAUAUUGUGGUUUUACUAAUCCUAUAACUCCACUAAUAGUUUUUCCUGUAUGUAUACCUAUUUUUAAACUUAUAUAUUUUUUUACAUAUUUUAUAUUUUUACUACUACUUUUAUUAUAGUUUUCAUUAUUUUCUAUAAUAAAAGUAUUAUUAUUACUAUCUUUAGUAAAAUC